GAUGAACGCUGGCGGCGUGCCUAAUACAUGCAAGUCGAGCGAACAGACGAGGAGCUUGCUCCUCUGACGUUAGCGGCGGACGGGUGAGUAACACGUGGAUAACCUACCUAUAAGACUGGGAUAACUUCGGGAAACCGGAGCUAAUACCGGAUAAUAUAUUGAACCGCAUGGUUCAAUAGUGAAAGACGGUUUUGCUGUCACUUAUAGAUGGAUCCGCGCCGCAUUAGCUAGUUGGUAAGGUAACGGCUUACCAAGGCAACGAUGCGUAGCCGACCUGAGAGGGUGAUAGGCCACACUGGAACUGAGACACGGUCAAGACUCCUAAGGGAGGCAGCAGUAGGGAAUCUUACGCAAUGGGCGAAAGCCUGACGGAGCAACGCAGCGUGAGUGAUGAAGGUCUUCGGAUCGUAAAACUCUGUUAUUAGGGAAGAACAAAUGUGUAAGUAACUAUGCACGUCUUGACGGUAACUAAUCAGAAAGCCACGGCUAACUACGUG
Molecule: ribosomal RNA, 497 nt
Filed under: uncultured bacterium
Lineage: Bacteria
Description: partial 16S ribosomal RNA
Rfam family: Bacterial small subunit ribosomal RNA
Source: RNAcentral